AGAGUUUGAUCAUGGCUCAGAACGAACGCUGGCGGCAUGCCUAACACAUGCAAGUCGAACGAGACCUUCGGGUCUAGUGGCGCACGGGUGCGUAACGCGUGGGAAUCUGCCCUGGGGUACGGAAUAACAGUGAGAAAUUACUGCUAAUACCGUAUGAUGACGUAAGUCCAAAGAUUUAUCGCCCUGGGAUGAGCCCGCGUAGGAUUAGCUUGUUGGUGAGGUAAAAGCUCACCAAGGCGACGAUCCUUAGCUGGUCUGAGAGGAUGAUCAGCCACACUGGGACUGAGACACGGCCCAGACUCCUACGGGAGGCAGCAGUGGGGAAUAUUGGACAAUGGGCGAAAGCCUGAUCCAGCAAUGCCGCGUGAGUGAUGAAGGCCUUAGGGUUGUAAAGCUCUUUUACCCGGGAAGAUAAUGACUGUACCGGGAGAAUAAGCCCCGGCUAACUCCGUG
RNAcentral lists this ribosomal RNA (453 nucleotides) under uncultured bacterium. RNAcentral's name for it is "bacterial SSU rRNA". It matches the Rfam family "Bacterial small subunit ribosomal RNA", at positions 8 to 507 of the family's 1533-position model. The record is from RNAcentral.